ACUCCUACGGGAGGCAGCAGUGGGAAUAUUGCACAAUGGGGCAGCAAGCCUGAUGCAGCCAUGCCGCGUGUGUGAAGAAGGCCUUCGGGUUGAUAAAGCACUUUCAGUUGUGAGGAAAGGUUAGUCGCUAAUAUCGGCUAGCUUGUUGACGUUUAGCAACAGAAGAAGCACCGGCUAACUCCGUGCCAGCAGCCGCGGUAAUACGGAGGGUGCGAGCGUUAAUCGGAAUUACUGGGCGUAAAGCGCGUGUAGGUGGCUUGUUAAGCCAGAUGUGAAAGCCC
RNAcentral lists this ribosomal RNA (281 nucleotides) under uncultured bacterium. RNAcentral's name for it is "partial 16S ribosomal RNA". It matches the Rfam family "Bacterial small subunit ribosomal RNA", at positions 335 to 603 of the family's 1533-position model. The record is from RNAcentral.